CUGUAGUGCUUCUAUUCUACUACUAUCUCAAGAGAAAAAUAGCCAUCUGAAGAUAUGGGGUAAACAUAGAAAUUGAGCAAAGGGAUUCAGAUAAUCUUGAAGGAUAAUUCAAACAGGGUCUGUAAAAUCCCAGUGGCUUGCUCUAUAUCCUAAGCUGUUUCAAUCAACAUAAUCAUAAUUGAAUCAGGAGCCCUUAAUCUAUUAAAUCCCAGGUUAAUACAAAGCUCCUGACACAUUCUGUACCUUUCUUUCUUCAUUUCUGCUACACUCAAGGGCUAAGGUUUUUUUUUUUUCUUUUUAAACACUUUUCUAUCUUUUUCAGGCUCUCUGCACUCAAGAAUGCUUACGAGGGGUAUCCUAAUGCCAUCCUUUAAUUUUAUUAGAGAAUCCCCAACAUGCCAGGUCACACAACAUGGCCGGACAUAAUUUGGGUUGGAAAAAAGAAUGCAGAGCAAAAUUUCUGCUGUUGGUACAGAUGCUUCGAUCAAAUUGACACUGCCUGCUGGGGUCCCGGGAGAAUACUCAAAGUGAACAGAUGUGCCAUGGUUCCCAAUUUUGGUAGAGAAGUAAAAUCCUUGGCCAGAAUCAUCAAUUUAAAUUAGUAGCCGAGCCAGACUCCUGAAAAUUGUUACUGCACUGUAUAAUGACAGUAAAGCAUUGAAAUCACACCUCUCUCACCUCCUUUACAUCUUUGUUCAAAUGUCAAUUUCUCAAUAAGGUGAACCCUGACAAUUUCAUUUAAAACUACACUUGUUUCUCCAACUAUUCACCCUAUUCUAUGACUCUUCACUGCACUUACUCCCUUUCUGAUACAUUAUACAGUUAACUUACUUGUUGUGUUUC
This 843-nucleotide long non-coding RNA is filed under the name Callithrix jacchus (white-tufted-ear marmoset). Its description in RNAcentral is "lncRNA (ENSCJAG00000086811.1)". The record is from RNAcentral. Lineage: Eukaryota; Metazoa; Chordata; Mammalia; Primates; Cebidae.